Molecule: ribosomal RNA, 492 nt
Filed under: uncultured organism
Description: SSU rRNA
Rfam family: Bacterial small subunit ribosomal RNA
Source: RNAcentral
AGUUUGAUCCUGGCUCAGGACGAACGCUGGCGGCGUGCUUAACACAUGCAAGUCGAACGAGGAUGCAGGAGAGCUUGCUCGAAUGCAGCCGAGUGGCGGACGGGUGAGUAACGCGUGAACAAUCUGUCUCAUACAGGGGGAUAACGCGUCGAAAGACGUGCUAAUACCGCGUAGGACCACGGGGUCGCAUGGCCCUGAGGUGAAAGGCUUCGGCCGGUAUGAGGUGAGUUCGCGUCUGAUUAGAUAGUUGGUGAGGUAACGGCUCACCAAGUCAACGAUCAGUAGCCGACCUGAGAGGGUGAUCGGCCACAUUGGGACUGAGACACGGCCCAGACUCCUACGGGAGGCAGCAGUGGGGAAUAUUGGGCAAUGGGCGAAAGCCUGACCCAGCAACGCCGCGUGAGGGAAGAAGGUUUUCGGAUUGUAAACCUCUGUCCUGUAUGAAGAGGAGAAGACGGUAGUACAGGAGGAAGCCCCGGCUAACUACGUGCC